Molecule: unclassified non-coding RNA, 102 nt
Organism: Propithecus coquereli (Coquerel's sifaka)
Lineage: Eukaryota; Metazoa; Chordata; Mammalia; Primates; Indriidae
Rfam family: Y RNA
About the family: Y RNAs are components of the Ro ribonucleoprotein particle (Ro RNP), in association with Ro60 and La proteins.
Source: Ensembl
UGUUGGUCCAAGUACAGUGGUGUUUACAAUUAAUCGAGCACGACCAGUUACAGAUUCCUUUGUUCCUUCUCCACUCCCACUGCUUCACUUGACCAGCCUUUA